This is an RNA transcript of Syngnathoides biaculeatus (alligator pipefish), 2093 nucleotides long. It is a transcript of the gene named nuclear receptor coactivator 4, with no coding region annotated. Lineage: Eukaryota; Metazoa; Chordata; Actinopteri; Syngnathiformes; Syngnathidae. The transcript is spliced from 11 exons. The record is from RefSeq and is a predicted model, not a curated record.
ACCCUCGUGACUAAGUGACCAGCUGGAGUCAAUCUUAGAGGAACGAGCGAGGGAACGCGAGAGAAACGAUUUACUUUCCCCAACGACGACCGCUUGUUCGAGCAAUUUGCGAAAUUGGUGGCUUUCAACAGGAGAAGCGAAGAAACAAAAGCAAAAGGAUGCCCACAGCAGGCAGCAAGUUGAAGCAGUGCUUGCUGGCUCAGGAUCAGCUGGAGCAGGCCAUCAACGCUGUGCUAAAAACAGAGCAGCAGCUGAGGGACAACGCCAGAGAGGUGCGAUGGCAGCUGCAGAGUAACAUGAGUCGCCAGCAGGAGGCGCUCCGCUGCAGGGAGGUCCAUCUUCUGGGCCAGAUCGAGCUGCUGGAACACGUCAAGGCUGAAACGCUGCAGCAGCAGUUACAUCAACUCCAUCGGAUGCACGGGCAGUUAGAAGCCAUCUCCCAGCAGCUGCGGAGCAUCCACAGCAGCGGCGACCUCGGCAAUCAGCUGACCGACUGCAUUGACAAGAUGUCAUCACUCAGUUUGAUGCCAGAGGAAACGCCCGAGAUGAUUUUUAAUGCAGACUCGCGCUCCUUGAGGGACGCCAUCACUUCUUUCGGGAGCAUCAGCGUCCAGAAAGACCAGGGUGGGGUUCUGGGCAACUGGCUGCUGGAAAGUCGUCCUGGACUCGGACUUGAAGCUGACAAAUACAAAGCUUCCCGUCUGGCCCCGGGAUCAGUGGAUUUUCUCAAGGCCUGGGGUCAGCUACAAGAUCUGGAGAUGUGGCUGCUCCGGGACCAGAAGGCCAAUGGUCAGAAGUGGAAGGACUCCUCUUCUCCCUCCUGCGUCUCUAUGGACAAGAUCAACAAAUCCGACUCGCCUAAUCUCUUCCGGGACGACGACCUGAGCAAAUGGCUGCAGCCCCCGCCCGCUGCCCCCACUGAGUCGGGUGGCGAGCGUUGGCGUUUGCGCUUGAAUCCGUUUUCUGAGUGCCAGUCCUGGGACGACUGGCUCGUGGGCUCUGACUGCUCCUCCUGCUGCCGCCAAGGUACCCAGGCACUGGAGAUCGAGAACCUGGGCCAGCUCAAGUGCCUCAAGACCCAGCCGACUGUUGCCCCCGCGCCCGCCGCCGCAGCGCCCCCUGCCGUCGCCGGCCUUCAGGCGUGGCUUCAGCAGGCGGCGCCGCUGCCGCAAACAUGCCGCGCCAACGAGCCGUGCUCCAGCUAUUCUGAGUGUGUCUGUGACGAAAACUGCGGAAAAGAAGCUCUGAACGCCUGGCUGCUGCAGUGCAGCGCACGAGACAAAAACGGCGUCCCCGUCUCCGUUGCCGCCGAAGCACCGCUUGCGUCCGCUAACAAUGUCCUGCCAGCUUCAAAGGAUUUCCCGCCUACUUUGCAGCGCCGACAGCAAGAACAAAAGGUUCAGGCCAUUCUGGAGGCGUGGCUUCACCCUUCCAACCUUUCCUCCGGUACCUCCGGCUCCUGCUUCCAGAAGCCUUUAGUUGCAGAAACUUGGAUGCUUCCGGAGAAGUUGGUGGCAGCAGCGCAGCAGGAUGUCAAGAACAGGUGUCAGGAACGUGGGACCUUGCCCUCUCUCUGUGACUCCUUUUCCAGCAUGAAAGUGGGUGGGGACCAAGAGAAAUGGCUCCACAACCCUCGUCCAAUCCAGAAAUAAAGUCAGGCUGGACAAAAGAGGUCCAAGAACUGACACUUGAGGGACCUCAUAUGUCAUUCCCAUUUGAUCGGUUUGAUGAAGAGGAUGAUCUUCACUUCAAUCCUGUGACAUAGUUUGAUCCCAAACAGGAAGUCGAUUGAAGGCAUCCCAUCGAUCAGUCAGCUAUUUACUCUUACAGGGUGACUUAUUUUAACAAAGAUUUUUACGAAACAUUUAUUUUUGCGAUUCCGUUGAAUGCUUAUCCUUGCCAAUUCAGGCUCAAACUUUUCAUCCUAGAUUUCUCAAACAAUGAAAUAAAAUUUUUGCUCCUCGGAAUAUUCUCUUGUAACAUCAACAUGCUUUGAAUUUACUCACCUGGGAUGACAUUUUUUGUGUGGAUGUGGGGGUGGGGUCAGUGGUCUUCUAGCCCUAAUAAAACAUGUUGACAUCUGCGUUCAUGGA